RNAcentral lists this ribosomal RNA (459 nucleotides) under uncultured bacterium. Its description in RNAcentral is "partial 16S ribosomal RNA". It matches the Rfam family "Bacterial small subunit ribosomal RNA", at positions 338 to 795 of the family's 1533-position model. The record is from RNAcentral.
CCUACGGGAGGCAGCAGUGAGGAAUAUUGGUCAAUGGGCGCGAGCCUGAACCAGCCAAGUCGCGUGAGGGAAGACGGUCCUAUGGGUUGUAAACCUCUUUUGUCGGGGAGCAAAAGACGCCACGCGUGCCGUUCCGAGAGUACCCGAAGAAAAAGCAUCGGCUAACUCCGUGCCAGCAGCCGCGGUAAUACGGAGGAUGCGAGCGUUAUCCGGAUUUAUUGGGUUUAAAGGGUGCGCAGGCGGAAGGUUAAGUCAGCGGUAAAAUUGCGGGGCUCAACCCCGUCGAGCCGUUGAAACUGGUUUUCUUGAGUGAGUGAGAAGUAUGCGGAAUGCGUGGUGUAGCGGUGAAAUGCAUAGAUAUCACGCAGAACUCCGAUUGCGAAGGCAGCUUGCUGCAGCGGAACUGACGCUGAUGCUCGAAAGCGCGGGUAUCGAACAGGAUUAGAUACCCCUGUAGUC